Molecule: microRNA, 22 nt
Filed under: Ananas comosus (pineapple)
Lineage: Eukaryota; Viridiplantae; Streptophyta; Magnoliopsida; Poales; Bromeliaceae
Description: microRNA s1396_c057b
Source: RNAcentral
AGAGGAACUCCCGAGCAUUUGU